RNAcentral lists this ribosomal RNA (500 nucleotides) under uncultured Glomeromycotina. RNAcentral's name for it is "partial small subunit ribosomal RNA". It matches the Rfam family "Eukaryotic small subunit ribosomal RNA", at positions 591 to 1092 of the family's 1831-position model. The record is from RNAcentral. Lineage: Eukaryota; Fungi; Glomeromycota.
CCAAUAGCGUAUAUUAAAGUUGUUGCAGUUAAAAAGCUCGUAGUUGAAUUUCGGGAUCAGUACGCUGGUCGUGCCUUCGGUAUGUACUGGUGUUACUGGUUCCUACCUUCUGACGAACCGUCAUGUCAUUAAUUUGGUGUGGCGGGGAAUCAGGACUGUUACUUUGAAAAAAUUAGAGUGUUUAAAGCAGGCUCGCGCUUGAAUACAUUAGCAUGGAAUAAUGAAAUAGGACGUUCGAUCCUAUUUUGUUGGUUUCUAGGAUUGACGUAAUGAUUAAUAGGGAUAGUUGGGGGCAUUAGUAUUCAAUUGUCAGAGGUGAAAUUCUUGGAUUUAUUGAAGACUAACUACUGCGAAAGCAUUUGCCAAGGAUGUUUUCAUUAAUCAAGAACGAAAGUUAGGGGAUCGAAGACGAUCAGAUACCGUCGCAGUCUUAACCAUAAACUAUGCCGACUAGGGAUCGGAUGAUGUUAAUUUUUUAAUGACUCAUUCGGCGCCUUACG